Molecule: ribosomal RNA, 184 nt
Filed under: Amanita ponderosa
Lineage: Eukaryota; Fungi; Basidiomycota; Agaricomycetes; Agaricales; Amanitaceae
Description: partial 28S ribosomal RNA
Rfam family: Eukaryotic large subunit ribosomal RNA
Source: RNAcentral
UUGACCUCAAAUCAGGUAGGACUACCCGCUGAACUUAAGCAUAUCAAUAAGCGGAGGAAAAGAAACUAACAAGGAUUCCCCUAGUAACUGCGAGUGAAGUGGGAAAAGCUCAAAUUUAAAAUCUGACAGUCUUUGACUGUCUGAGUUGUAACCUAGAGAAGUGCUACCUGUGCUGGACCAUGUA